GAUGAAGAACGCAGCGAAAUGCGAAAAGUAGUGUGAAUUGCAGAAUUCAGUGAAUCAUCGAAUCUUUGAACGCACAUUGCGCCCGCUGGUAUUCCGGCGGGCAUGCCUGUUCGAGCGUCAUUUCAACCCUCAAGCCCCCGGGUUUGGUGUUGGGGAUCGGCUCUGCCCUUCUGGGCGGUGCCGCCCCCGAAAUACAUUGGCGGUCUCGCUGCAGCCUCCAUUGCGUAGUAGCUAACACCUCGCAACUGGAACGCGGCGCGGCCAUGCCGUAAAACCCCAACUUCUGAAUGUUGACCUCGGAUCAGGUAGGAAUACCCGCUGAACUUAAGCAUAUCAAUAAGCGGAGGA
RNAcentral lists this unclassified non-coding RNA (348 nucleotides) under soil metagenome. Its description in RNAcentral is "partial contains 5.8S ribosomal RNA, internal transcribed spacer 2, and large subunit ribosomal RNA". The stretch from base 1 to 120 matches the Rfam family "5.8S ribosomal RNA", at positions 35 to 154 of the family's 154-position model. The record is from RNAcentral.